GACGAACGCUGGCGGCGUGCCUAAUACAUGCAAGUAGAACGCUGAAGAGAGGAGCUUACUCUUCUUGGAUGAGUUGCGAACGGGUGAGUAACGCGUAGGUAACCUGCCUUGUAGCGGGGGAUAACUAUUGGAAACGAUAGCUAAUACCGCAUAACAAUGGAUGACACAUGUCAUUUAUUUGAAAGGGGCAAUUGCUCCACUACAAGAUGGACCUGCGUUGUAUUAGCUAGUAGGUGAGGUAAUGGUUCACCUAGGCGACGAUACAUAGCCGACCUGAGAGGGUGAUCGGCCACACUGGGACUGAGACACGGCCCAGACUCCUACGGGAGGCAGCAGUAGGGAAUCUUCGGCAAUGGGGGCAACCCUGACCGAGCAACGCCGCGUGAGUGAAGAAGGUUUUCGGAUCGUAAAGCUCUGUUGUAAGUCAAGAACGGGUGUGAGAGUGGAAAGUUCACACUGUGACGGUAGCUUACCAGAAAGGGACGGCUAACUACGUG
RNAcentral lists this ribosomal RNA (497 nucleotides) under uncultured bacterium. Its description in RNAcentral is "partial 16S ribosomal RNA". It matches the Rfam family "Bacterial small subunit ribosomal RNA", at positions 28 to 507 of the family's 1533-position model. The record is from RNAcentral.